UGACCCCGGUCUGCUCGCUGG
This 21-nucleotide microRNA is filed under the name Oryza sativa (Asian cultivated rice). RNAcentral describes it as "osa-miR1846c-3p". The record is from miRBase by way of RNAcentral. Lineage: Eukaryota; Viridiplantae; Streptophyta; Magnoliopsida; Poales; Poaceae.